RNAcentral lists this ribosomal RNA (622 nucleotides) under uncultured archaeon. Its description in RNAcentral is "bacterial SSU rRNA". It matches the Rfam family "Archaeal small subunit ribosomal RNA", at positions 146 to 774 of the family's 1478-position model. The record is from RNAcentral.
AUAAUACUCCAUAGAUUAGAGAUACUGGAAUGUUCUUUAGUCAAAAGUUCCGGCGCCUUAGGAUGGAUCUGCGGUCGAUUAGGUUGUUGUUGGGUAAACGGCCCAACAAGCCUGUAAUCGAUACGGGUUGUGGGAGCAAUAGCCCGGAGAUGGAAUCUGAGACAAGAUUCCAGGCCCUACGGGGCGCAGCAGGCGCGAAAACUUUACAAUGCAGGAAACUGUGAUAAGGGAACCCCGAGUGCCCGUAUACGCGGGCUGUCCAGGUGUUUAAAAGUCAUCUGAAGAAAGGGCCGGGCAAGACCGGUGCCAGCCGCCGCGGUAAUACCGGCGGCUCGAGUGGUGGCCACUAUUAUUGGGCUUAAAGCGUCCGUAGCUGGACUGAUAAGUCUCUUGGGAAAUCCGCCGGCUCAACCGGCGGGCGUCUAAGGGAUACUGUUGGUCUAGGGACCGGGAGAGGUGAGAGGUACUCCGGGGGUAGGAGUGAAAUCCUGUAAUCCCCGGGGGACCACCGAUGGCGAAGGCACCUCACCAGAACGGCUCCGACAGUGAGGGACGAAAGCUGGGGGAGCAAACCGGAUUAGAUACCCGGGUAGUCCCAGCCGUAACUAUGCGCGUUAGGUGU